UACGGUGCUGAAGCAACAAAUGCCCUGCUUCCAGGAAAAGCCUCUAAGCAUCAGGUAACAUCAAAUCGUACCCCAAACCGACACAGGUGGUCAGGUAGAGAAUACCAAGGCGCUUGAGAGAACUCGGGUGAAGGAACUAGGCAAAAUGGUGCCGUAACUUCGGGAGAAGGCACGCUGAUAUGUAGGUGAAGUCCCUCGCGGAUGGAGCUGAAAUCAGUCGAAGAUACCAGCUGGCUGCAACUGUUUAUUAAAAACACAGCACUGUGCAAACACGAAAGUGGACGUAUACGGUGUGACGCCUGCCCGGUGCCGGAAGGUUAAUUGAUGGGGUCAGCGCAAGCGAAGCUCUUGAUCGAAGCCCCGGUAAACGGCGGCCGUAACUAUAACGGUCCUAAGGUAGCGAAAUUCCUUGUCGGGUAAGUUCCGACCUGCACGAAUGGCGUAAUGAUGGCCAGGCUGUCUCCACCCGAGACUCAGUGAAAUUGAACUCGCUGUGAAGAUGCAGUGUACCCGCGGCAAGACGGAAAGACCCCGUGAACCUUUACUAUAGCUUGACACUGAACAUUGAGCCUUGAUGUGUAGGAUAGGUGGGAGGCUUUGAAGUGUGGACGCCAGUCUGCAUGGAGCCGACCUUGAAAUACCACCCUUUAAUGUUUGAUGUUCUAACGUGGACCCGUGAUCCGGGUUGCGGACAGUGUCUGGUGGGUAGUUUGACUGGGGCGGUCUCCUCCUAAAGAGUAACGGAGGAGCACGAAGGUUGGCUAAUCCUGGUCGGACAUCAGGAGGUUAGUGCAAUGGCAUAAGCCAGCUUGACUGCGAGCGUGACGGCGCGAGCAGGUGCGAAAGCAGGUCAUAGUGAUCCGGUGGUUCUGAAUGGAAGGGCCAUCGCUCAACGGAUAAAAGGUACUCCGGGGAUAACAGGCUGAUACCGCCCAAGAGUUCAUAUCGACGGCGGUGUUUGGCACCUCGAUGUCGGCUCAUCACAUCCUGGGGCUGAAGUAGGUCCCAAGGGUAUGGCUGUUCGCCAUUUAAAGUGGUACGCGAGCUGGGUUUAGAACGUCGUGAGACAGUUCGGUCCCUAUCUGCCGUGGGCGCUGGAGAACUGAGGGGGGCUGCUCCUAGUACGAGAGGACCGGAGUGGACGCAUCACUGGUGUUCGGGUUGUCAUGCCAAUGGCACUGCCCGGUAGCUAAAUGCGGAAGAGAUAAGUGCUGAAAGCAUCUAAGCACGAAACUUGCCCCGAGAUGAGUUCUCCCUGACCCUUUAAGGGUCCUGAAGGAACGUUGAAGACGACGACGUUGAUAGGCCGGGUGUGUAAGCGCAGCGAUGCGUUGAGCUAACCGGUACUAAUGAACCGUGAGGCUUAACCUUACAACGCCGAAGGUGUUU
RNAcentral lists this ribosomal RNA (1389 nucleotides) under Escherichia coli. RNAcentral's name for it is "partial 23S ribosomal RNA". It matches the Rfam family "Bacterial large subunit ribosomal RNA", at positions 1578 to 2925 of the family's 2925-position model. The record is from RNAcentral. Lineage: Bacteria; Pseudomonadati; Pseudomonadota; Gammaproteobacteria; Enterobacterales; Enterobacteriaceae.